This 169-nucleotide unclassified non-coding RNA is filed under the name uncultured fungus. RNAcentral describes it as "sequence contains ITS1". The record is from RNAcentral. Lineage: Eukaryota; Fungi.
CAAAUCAUGGGGGUGGGUAGUUGGUGGAGGGGGAGGGUUUAGCCGGGCAGUUUUGCUUUGGCUAACUCCCACCCAACAUCCUACCUAACCCACACAUUGGCACAGAGCCGCAAGGCUCUGAUGUUUACGCUUGUUUGUUUGACAGAUUUAUAUGAGACUAAAAUAUAGA